UUGUGUAACAGUGAUUAAGUUCAUUUUUAGUAUAGUUUUACACUUGUUUACUUAUAACGAUUCGUUCCAAUGAAUAUAAACUGUUCACCUAGUGUAUAACAAUGUUUGGAGAGGUGUAUAUGUUAAUGUCAGUAAAUAAAAAAAAACAAUUCCAACAGUUGUUGUGACCUCACCGGGAGUAAUUUUGCUCGAAAUAUUAGCAAAAUACAAUGGCGGGUAACGGGGAAUCAGGGUUCGAUUCCGGAGAGGGAGUCUGAGAAAUAGCUACCACAUCCAAGAACGGUAGCAGGCUCGAAAAUUACCCACUCCCAGCACGGGGAGGUAGUGACGAAAAAUACGAAUACGGGACUCAUUUGAGGCUCCGUAACCUGAUAUAUUUGAAUAUCGGAAUAUUUGAAAUCAGUA
RNAcentral lists this non-coding RNA (405 nucleotides) under Trichobilharzia regenti. Its description in RNAcentral is "Eukaryotic small subunit ribosomal RNA". It matches the Rfam family "Eukaryotic small subunit ribosomal RNA", at positions 139 to 550 of the family's 1831-position model. Lineage: Eukaryota; Metazoa; Platyhelminthes; Trematoda; Strigeidida; Schistosomatidae. The record is from Rfam by way of RNAcentral.